This 703-nucleotide ribosomal RNA is filed under the name uncultured bacterium. RNAcentral describes it as "bacterial SSU rRNA". It matches the Rfam family "Bacterial small subunit ribosomal RNA", at positions 127 to 851 of the family's 1533-position model. The record is from RNAcentral.
UGCCCCGCGCUCCGGGACAACCGCUGGAAACGGCGGCUAAUACCGGAUGCUCCGGGGAGGCCCCAUGGCCUCCCCGGGAAAGCCUUAACGGCGCGGGAUGGGGUCGCGGCCCAUUAGGUAGACGGCGGGGUAACGGCCCACCGUGCCCGCGAUGGGUAGCCGGACUGAGAGGUCGACCGGCCACAUUGGGACUGAGAUACGGCCCAGACUCCUACGGGAGGCAGCAGUGGGGAAUUUUGCGCAAUGGGGGAAACCCUGACGCAGCAACGCCGCGUGCGGGACGAAGGCCUUCGGGUUGUAAACCGCUUUCAGCAGGGAAGACUUUGACGGUACCUGCAGAAGAAGCUCCGGCUAACUACGUGCCAGCAGCCGCGGUAAUACGUAGGGGGCGAGCGUUAUCCGGAUUCAUUGGGCGUAAAGCGCGCGUAGGCGGCCGCCUAAGCGGAACCUCUAAUCCCGGGGCUCAACCUCGGGCCGGGUUCCGGACUGGGCGGCUCGAGUGCGGUAGAGGCAGGCGGAAUUCCCGGUGUAGCGGUGGAAUGCGCAGAUAUCGGGAAGAACACCGAUGGCGAAGGCAGCCUGCUGGGCCGCCACUGACGCUGAGGCGCGAAAGCUGGGGGAGCGAACAGGAUUAGAUACCCUGGUAGUCCCAGCCGUAAACGAUGGACGCUAGGUGUGGGGGGACAGUCCCCCCGUGCCGCAG